RNAcentral lists this ribosomal RNA (539 nucleotides) under uncultured bacterium. RNAcentral describes it as "bacterial SSU rRNA". It matches the Rfam family "Bacterial small subunit ribosomal RNA", at positions 356 to 896 of the family's 1533-position model. The record is from RNAcentral.
GAGGAAUAUUGGUCAAUGGGCGCGAGCCUGAACCAGCCAAGUAGCGUGCAGGAUGACGGCCCUAUGGGUUGUAAACUGCUUUUGUAUGGGGAUAAAGUCAAUCACGUGUGAUUGUUUGCAGGUACCAUACGAAUAAGGACCGGCUAAUUCCGUGCCAGCAGCCGCGGUAAUACGGAAGGUCCGGGCGUUAUCCGGAUUUAUUGGGUUUAAAGGGAGUGUAGGCGGUUUGUUAAGCGUGUUGUGAAAUUUAGGUGCUCAACAUUUAACUUGCAGCGCGAACUGUCAGACUUGAGUACACGCAACGUAUGCGGAAUUCAUGGUGUAGCGGUGAAAUGCUUAGAUAUCAUGAAGAACUCCGAUUGCGAAGGCAGCAUACGGGAGUGUAACUGACGCUUAAGCUCGAAGGUGCGGGUAUCGAACAGGAUUAGAUACCCUGGUAGUCCGCACAGUAAACGAUGGAUGCCCGCUGUUAGUACCUGGUAUCAGCGGCUAAGCGAAAGCAUUAAGCAUCCCACCUGGGGAGUACGCCGGCAACGGUG